RNAcentral lists this transfer RNA (73 nucleotides) under Rubrobacteraceae bacterium. Its description in RNAcentral is "tRNA-Thr". It matches the Rfam family "tRNA". Rfam says of the family: Transfer RNA (tRNA) molecules are approximately 80 nucleotides in length. RNAcentral also lists the same sequence under 2 other names. Lineage: Bacteria; Bacillati; Actinomycetota; Rubrobacteria; Rubrobacterales; Rubrobacteraceae. The record is from RNAcentral.
GCUCCUGUAGCUCAGUAGGUAGAGCACUUCCAUGGUAAGGAAGGGGUCACCGGUUCGAGUCCGGUCGGGAGCU